Non-coding RNA from Ceratotherium simum simum (southern white rhinoceros), 91 nucleotides. The record is from RefSeq and is a predicted model, not a curated record. NCBI's taxonomy places the organism in Eukaryota, Metazoa, Chordata, Mammalia, Perissodactyla, Rhinocerotidae.
GUUAGGGUGACAUGUGAGUAUUGUGUGGGUCCAUUUAUGGACUCUGUUCUGUCCACACCACACUCUCUUGAUGACUCUAGCUUUAUGUCUG